GAAGGGCUUCUGUGACCUAGCUCUCUCUUUUGGGGACCACUUCUCAACUAUCAUCAGUCUGUCCAGAAGAUGGAAUCUGAGGAAUGUUAACCAAUUAAUACAAAAGAGAUGAAAGGAAGUCCCACUAAAACUCAGUCUGUACACAAGAUGGAAUCUGAGGUAUGUUUACAAUUAUAGAAAAGAGAUGCAAGUCCCACUAAAAUUGUUCCCCAAUAAAAUGAGUGACACUACGAGAGACAAAAGCUGAAACCCUCAAAACAUUCCAACCCGUACUAUUCCAAUGAGGCAUAACAUGAUGAAUGAAUGUGGUAACCUGCCAACUCCAAGACUAACUGCAUCAAUGCAGUGCUAUAAAGUGAUGGUUUUCUCUAUAUAGAAUUAUUUCCAUGAGUGCUGCUUCCAUAAGCUCCAACCACUGAAGCGCGGCAUCAAACUUCAUAACCUGCGGGCACCAUAUUGCUUCUUGGUGACCGUCUGUUCACACACCGGCAACAUUGACUCUGAUUCAAUUAAGGCAAACCUGCAUUGGACCACAAUUGAUGCACCAAUUUUACAGGACAGAGGGCAAGAGGAUCAUGGGUUGUCUGUUUCAAUGCAGCAGCUUAGCUCAAGUGCAGCAAUAGACUCAUCUCAAGAGCUGCACUGAUCCUCUUAAAGCACCUUUUGACCUUAAAAUCAUAAUUAAUGGUUCCAGGUACGUAGUUUAUCCAAGUCAAAAAGUGCUAAUUCAUGCAGACUCGAGAAGUGAAAUUGAUAUUGUUUCAUGCAUGACAUGCGCAUGCCAAAGUUCUUGCAACAAUGGAUGCUAUCAUGCCAAUCUUGUUUGUAUGUUCGUGUCCAAAACAUAUAGCAGCUACAUAUUCAGAUAAUGCUAGCAUUUGAUAGUCAUCCUGCUCAUGAAGGAAACAAAUGAUCUCAUGAAAACCUUCUAUAGCAACACUAUAAGUUGUUUGGAAAAAGAUAUCAUGGGCAGGGCGUAGGGUGGGUGAGGAGGUUUGUUUCUUUUAAUGUGGUUUGGGCAGAACUAAAAUGCCCCCACAGAAGUUUCAAAAGCCGCACUAAGUCACUAAAAAAAAAUGCCUUGUGGUUUACACCACAUUGCAAUGUUAAGUGUGACUGGUUAACCAAUUUAGAAUUUAAUGUUAAUAUGUGAUCAGAAAAGCAAAGUCAGUAGGAUAUAUUAAGAAGCACGUUUAAUCAAGUCAGUUCUUCAGAUUGAUUUGAUUCUUCAAUAAACAAUGCCCUUAAAAUUUGUUGUUCAAACAGUUUGUGGCAUCAAGAAAUGCAUCUUUAGAGUUCAAGACCACCUUCCUAAAACAUUCAAAAAUUACUCAUCAAUUUAUUCUCAUCAACUAAUGCUAUGGUAAUUCUUGUACUUCGUCUAUCAACAAAAAGCCAUCAUUGUCUCAUGUUUCAAAUUCAACAUGAUUUCAAUCAAUAACCAAAAAAAGCCAUGCAAACCAUCGAGAAGCAAUUUAUGAUAGAAUCAAGUAAUUUGAUUAAUAAAAGCUUCCACAUAUCCCCAACCAUCAUCAAUAUCAGGUCCCACCCAAUAGCCAACUAUUAUUUUGUGAGUACAUGAACUUACAAUCGUACAAAGAGGAAAAAGUUCACCAAAAUGAUCUAAAGAAGUUAAAUAUCCACGGCAGCUCCUCACAGAAAAUAUAUCUCUAUUUGAAUGGUAGAAUGCAAGAAGGUUGGUUGCUGUUCUGAUGGUUGCUUGGCUUGAAAGUCCAGCCAGGGGUACUUUCCUCAGUUGUAAUUCCUGGAAGAAAAUUCCCAACAAGGAUGAACCUCAAGUAUUUUACAUAUUAUUGUAUUAUACAAAUAGAUGAAACUGGUCAUAUAACAAAGAAAUAGUACAGCAAUAGCAUUAUCAAGUACCAAACUUUAAGAUAGUAUUAAAAUUCAAAAUUUGCUGCAGUUCUUAAUUUUUCCCGACCAGACCUGGACCGCCUAGCUCUGUGUGUGUGGGUGGAGGAAGAUCAGAUCAAAUGUUGAACCAUAGUAACUUCCUCGUUCACCAAAAAUAACUCCUAGGUCUCUCCCCUUUUACAUCCCUCCAGCAGACUCUAUGACGUACUUCGCAACAAAUAAAGUAAAAACUCUAAAAUUUUCCCCAGCCAUGUUGCAAAAGCAAGCAAACUGCUCUCCUGAUGUGCAUUGCUGAUGGUACAAGACUCGAAACCAACCUCAAGUAAACGAAUUUCUAAAUAUCCCGGCCAUGUUUAGAGUGCCUUUAGAACAGUUUUCACCAUGGUGGUUGUCCCAGCAACCAUAAAGAAAACUAAUAAAAUCAGACCUCAAAUUAUUCACUGGAGUAAGAAUUUUCGGGCACAGAGAGGCGUAGAGAAGCUAAUGGAUACUACACACGCCAUUGAAGAGGAAGCGGGCACUUGCGAAGAGCGAAUUUGCAAUUUUUCCUACAAUCUCUGGGUUUUGGUUUGUAG
RNAcentral lists this unclassified non-coding RNA (2450 nucleotides) under Hevea brasiliensis (rubber tree). Lineage: Eukaryota; Viridiplantae; Streptophyta; Magnoliopsida; Malpighiales; Euphorbiaceae. The record is from RNAcentral.